This 449-nucleotide ribosomal RNA is filed under the name uncultured bacterium. RNAcentral describes it as "partial 16S ribosomal RNA". It matches the Rfam family "Bacterial small subunit ribosomal RNA", at positions 29 to 523 of the family's 1533-position model. The record is from RNAcentral.
AAUGAACGCUGGCGGCAGGCCUAACACAUGCAAGUCGAACGAGGUAGCAAUACCUAGUGGCGGACGGGUGAGUAACGCGUGGGAACGUGCCCCUUGGUACGGAAUAGCCCUGGGAAACUGGGAGUAAUACCGUAUGUGGUCGAGAGACGAAAGAUUUAUCGCCAAGGGAUCGGCCCGCGUUGGAUUAGGUAGUUGGUGGGGUAAUGGCCUACCAAGCCGACGAUCCAUAGCUGGUUUGAGAGGAUGAUCAGCCACACUGGGACUGAGACACGGCCCAGACUCCUACGGGAGGCAGCAGUGGGGAAUCCUAGACAAUGGGGGAAACCCUGAUCUAGCCAUGCCGCGUGAUCGAUGAAGGCCUUAGGGUUGUAAAGAUCUUUCAGUGGGGAAGAUAAUGACGGUACCCGCAGAAGAAGCCCCGGCUAACUCCGCGCCAGCCGCCGCAGUAA